GCAUCAGGUUAUCAUGGAACGGCUUCAACAUGAAGAAAUGUACAACUAAUUGAUUAAACAAUUCAAACCUGGAAAAAUGUGACAGUGAUUAAAAUUCAUCCUGGAAAGUGAGACAUCAUAAACAGAGGGAAUGUGACCCCAAGAAGUCUGGAAACCUGGUCCACAAAUCUUACUGCCACUAAAAUUCUGAUGGAUGGUGUCAGACUUUAGAAGAUGAAAAUAUCCUCUGAUGAACAGAAAAAGAACCGAAAAGAAUAUAUUGAAGAGCCCUGAAUACAAAUAUAUUUCUGUAAUUUCAAAUCAGAAGAGGAGUACGGAAGCAGAAAAGCCAUGCAUGUGAAGUUAAGUACUGAGCAUAACUAUAAGCAGCAUCUUAAUUUUAAAUACCAGAGAUGAUGUACUGCAGUUUAUGUUAUCAGGUUAUUGUGCAUAUCUGACUAGUUUGGCUGGCAGCUAUGCAGGAAGGAGAUUUUGGUAAGAGAGGCUUAAACUGCACAUCUGCCCUGUCUGGAGGAAAGAAGAGUCCGUUUCUCAAUGUGAUAGAUACUGCUAAUGGGUCAGUGUUUAUGCAGAUGCAGAUUCUGAACCUGAAGUUGAUAGGCUACCCUACAAGGUGAUUACUGACAUAGAGUAGCAUUUUUUUUUUUUUACUUCUGCCCUGAUCAUGCCAGAGUGGUGCUGGUGCCUACCUACGAUUUUGGCUGCUGUUUCUGUCUUUCAGUCCUUACAGCAGUGCCUCAGGUAUGGCUGGCUCUUUUCAUAUCUGAACAAGGAAGGACAAGGGCACAUAAUCCCUAGGCUCUGUUAAAAUACAUACACAGAGUAACCUGUCAACUGAUUGCAGAGAAAGGAGCCAAAAAGUCCCCUCAUUCAGGCUUGCAUACUCCCUGGUGUGCUGAAAUGUUCACUCUCUGGGUAAUAGCUAAGCACCUGGACAUUUAUUUUAAAGGAAAAAACAAUCUGAUGCAUAUUUGGUUUUGUUCCCAGAAUAAUUUUUUUUUUUUAGUUUCAGGCUUUAUUUGCUGAACAAAAUAGUUGCAGGUUUCCUUUUAACCCAGUAAACUUUUGUGCUGUUGCACCUCAUUAUAUAUUUUGUGGUGCUGAGUUUUGAAUCUGCUGCUUCAAUUACAGAAACUGCCAACAGACAUAUGAAAAUCCAGAAUAUAGAGGCUGAAGCAUUCCUGCUUUUUAGCUUUGGAAUUAUUUUUGCAUACUUUGACAAUUUCCCCUUAUAAACUAAGACAGUGAUAGCUACAGUUGUGGAAUGCAAGACUAAUGCAAAAUUUUACUGCCAAAAUAGAGAAGAAAACAACUUUUUCAAACCUGAGUUUGUCAUAAUUCCUGGAUUUUCUCCCCACCUUUCUCUCUGCUCUCCACCCUCCCAAGUCAGUAAUUAAGAGAAGGGGAGAAGAAGAAGUAAAUGCAAGGCCAUGCAAGAGGAAAUAAAAAUGUAUGGGUCUUUUACCCCAAGGAGUUCCAUCUUUCUUUCUGACAAGACAUAUUGUGAUUUCAUGUCAUUUGAGUUUAUUAUGUUCAAUUCAGUGUAAGAGAUGAUGGAAGAAGUUCUGCCCCUGGUGUAUGUGAGGUGGAGUUUUAGCUCCAGUCUUUAACCUAAGUGAUUGAAAAUUGCAUGUGUGUUGUUUGUUUAAAUCAAAAGAAAAUGUACUGACUAAGCAGAUGAUACAUUGGACUAUUUGGAGUGAGAACUUUACUUCGUUUUCAGAUUGAACGAGAUGAAUUCACUUAUUAGGAGAUCCUGAAGCUUAUAGAGGUGGAUUUUGUAUAUCUGGACAGAUAACCUUGUGGUAGGAUAAGCUCAAAAGAUAAAAUUAAAACCGUGUAUGAAAAAAGCUCUCCCAGACCUUGGAGCGACUCAUCUGUCACUGUGGCUCUACUGUGUCAGUGCAUAGGUUCCCAAAUAAAAUGGCUGCAUGCGCAUGCCAUGCAGAAGUCGAGGAAAGGGAACUUUUCUAGGAAACCUGGACUUUGUACCCUUCAUGGGGAGAUGAGUGGAGAGUUAGGAAGAUGGGCAGCGGCUCAGAGCAUUGUUUCUCAUUUCCAGUUCUCUGACAGAGUAAUUGUCAGGAAGCUGAAUUUCUAUUUUGUUGCCCAGUGUGUUCAGAAUAGCUUUCGUCGGGAGAAGCAAUAUUAGAAAUAUAAUGCGAAAUGCAUUCAAUACAGUAAAAUUCUUUACUACUUUGACCUUUUAGUCCUUUGCACUGUGCUUCAUGGUGAUAUCCUACAUUCUGUGAAGAUUAGCAGGUCUGUCCGUACAAAGAGGAGAGCCCAUCAAAGAACUCUCUACUCUGGCACUUUUUGGUAUUUUGACUGUUAGUGCCUCUUCUGUUCUUUCCUGAUGGUAAAGGAGUAAUGAAGACUUUCCCAUCUGGAAGAGGAGAACCAGUGGAAGGGGAGAAUCAGUUGAGUUAUUUCUAAAUUACCUGUAAUAAAGUAGUUCCUAUUUUAAUGAUAUUGCUCGUUCUUGCUGUGUUGUUUAAAGAAAAAGAGAAAUUCCUGCCUUUGUACCCUGAGUUGAACUGACUCUGCGGUGGAGGGAAGCAGAUCUGGCAGCCCCCAGGCUAGCUUAAGAAAUGACACCAAUGGCAAAAGGCAAUCUGGUAACUGCUGUUGCCUCCCUUGAGGUUUCUGCUUGGUUGUGCACUGGUGUGGACAUAGCAGGCUGGCUCAUCUAGCUGGUCAAGUCCUCCCUUGUGCAAGGCUGGCAUAGCCUGAGGGGCAGGCAGGACAAUAAGAACCUCUGCAUUAAACUGGUCUGCUUGGUGCAGGCUUACCUGAGCUAUCUGGGAUAAUGAUAGGUUACCUGGAUCAAAGAGUGAAUUCUACAUUAUUCAUGGAGUUUCACUGAGACUUGGGCAUUCCUUGCCCCCUGGAAAGGGGCACAGAAAUCUGUGGAAAAAUAAGAGAAAAUUCUGAAUGACUCCGACUUUAUCUUAGCAUAUAGAGGGUGCGCUUUAAGUAGGAGAAAAGGUGAGAAAUAAAGAUGAAAAAUGAAAAUGAAGCAACAACUAAUGGCAAGAUAUCACUCGUGUACCAAACUCACUGUCAUGUCUGAGGAGAUGCCUAUAAAUCUGUCUUUUUUUUCAGAAAACCAAACUGGGAAAUUUCCCCCAGUUUCUCUGAAAGGGAAUUGAAGUUAAUUAAUCAUUAAUAAAAAAUAUACUCAGAUGAUUAGUAUUAGCUCUCUGCUUAGAAUAUACGCCUGUCCAAAAAACACAUUUAUUUAAAUUUUUUGUUUAAAUUAAGAAAAAAUAAAAGCCUGCGUUGUGUAACCUGACCAGAAACUGAUACAGGAGCAGGUCAUUUCCCUUGACUUAAAUUUCUUUGGUACUUUGACCUAUUCUCUGGUAAGUGUUCACAUGAUUUACACUGCAGCAUCUCUCUGUACUCCCUCUUCGAGCUUUCUGUAUGCAGAAGGAGUACCUUUUACAGGGAGGUAUUGUGCUGCUUGAAAAUGACCAUAGUUAACUUCAUGUACUGUUUUUACUCCAGUACAAUUUGUACUUUGACUCAUAAAGCUGAUGGGGUACCCUGUAAUGGAGAUACCUAUAUACUCAGGAUCGUAUACUUAAGGGGAAGGUCCCUUCUGUGUGUGACAGGUUAUGCAGUGGACAGGAUUUUCUUUUGCUAUAGAGAGCUGACUAUAUACAUUUUCUACUCCAUGUAUUGGCUCCAAAUUUCAGCAGUGUGUGUGAGAGAGAGGAGUGGAAAUCUUUCAUCCUAUUGAACCCCUCUGUGCCACCCUCCCUACAGAGAGGGGCCUGGGCCCUCUGCAAAAGUGUGAGCAACACUGAUUAUAUCAAUCUAUUUUAAGGCAGGAGUUCUCAAAGAGUGCUCUUACAGAGUCCUCUCAGCUCUCCUCCUUGAAGUCCAAGCAAGAUACUAACAAAGAAGAAUAAAACACUGUAGUUAACAUCUGGUUUGUUGUAAAAAAGCCUAUGAUAAAAGUGGUGGCUUUUGGUAGAAGAGCUUUAUCUCUUAAUCUUUGGGCUAUAUUCAAUGUGAGAGGGAUGGAAAAAGGCUAGAAUUGGUGGAUUAUACGCAGAGGGGGUUGAGCUGUUGGCUGUUUGUAAGCUUCCAUGUGAAGCAUGAAUUUGAAAUAUACUUAGAAAUCCAUGUCACUACUUUUUGUUUUCCUGGAGACUUGACUUCUGAGGCUCUGGAUAACCUGUACUUCCCAGCAAAUGCGGUGAGGGGGAAGAGGGCAGAUUUCUGACAUGAUAGUUGUUUUGAACAACAUUUUAGAGUGUAUAGUAGACAGGACAAAGAUACUCUCAUCAUGCCCACGCAGUGUAUGUGUCUGCUGUACAUUGGCUUCAUAAUCUUCUUACUAAAUGUCACAAAACAUGAUAAAAUUACUAUGCUUGAAUAGACAGUGUCUCUGAAGAAUAUAUUGUGAAUGUGGAAAAGAGGAACUUUGCUUUCAAAGAAACAGAGGCUGACCUCAGCACUAGGAUGCUCCUCUCUAUUGAAAUGUGGGAUUAAUAUAUGGAGCCACACUAGUAUAAACUGCUGAAGCGCCUUGGCGGUCUUCCAAACGAGUGCCCUUUCUGAUAGAGUUUUUAAUACUUCAAGAAGACAUAGUAUGUGCAUUUAGAUGCCAAUAAAAUGAUUCCCUGUGGGAUCCAUAAGCUGCAUUUCAAUGCUAAAUUAUGAUGACAGUGUGAAUGAUUGACCACCAGUCACCAGUGAAGCAUUUCUGCACACACGUGUUUUCGCUUUUCUGCAGUCUAAUCCCUUCUUGUGGUAAACUCUGACACUGCUUCAACCCUUAAUUGAGAUGCUUCUGUCCAUCUCUCAAUGCACGUGUUGUGCCAUUGCUGCUGAUGCUAAAGAAGCUCUAACCACCUGGCAGUUUAUUGACUGGAGCCUGACCUUAUUGCGUUCAUGACCUGCAAGAGGCUGCAGCCAAGACUUGUUUGGUCUCCAGACAGAAAGCUACAUUAAAUGAACCAAAAGAGAAAUACAUAGAUGCAACUAUUGCUGCAUCUGGCAAUUGAAGAGAAAUGAGAAGGGAACUAAAAAUCCCAUUACAAUUAUUCUUGGGUAAGAGUGUAGUUUUCUCUUUCAGAAAAAUCAAAUAACUUUGAAUGUAUGCUCCAUUUAGUCUAAGUGUGUGCAACAGGAGGGGAAUGAGCUUGCUAAACCUAGCAGGAAAGAAAGGUGACCUUCUGUUAAGGAUGAGAAUAAGGAACUAGAGUUCAGAUUAAGACAAGUGAUCUGAAAGGUUUCCCCAUAGAAUGGUCAGUAAAUUAAGACUUUGCUUAAGUUUUGAAAUUCCCUUCCCAAGAUUUUAGAUAGAUUAUUUUGGUAACAGAAUUCAGUGGCUGAAUUUGUCACAUAAGUGAAUUAGGGUAAGUAUCAUUAACCCUUUUUAAAAGAAGAAAGAUUUAACUGAUAGUGGAAAAACACGACUCACAUGAAAUGCAGCACCUGGACAAAUAGAGGAGUGAGGCAAAUGCCCAGGAUUCUGUUUCUUGUAUACAUAAUACUGUAUAAAUUGUACAAAAAUAUGCAAUUAAAAGUGAGUAAUUAAAUAGCCAAGUCUUAAUUUUAUAAUCUAGGCAGCUGUUGUAUGAUUUCUUCACAUUACAAGCUUUUUAUCUAGUGUGAAGAAUUCUCAUCGGGCAAAUGGAGAAAGGAGCUGGGAAAGAAAAAGUUCUCAGUGUUAAUUCUCUAUCUUGAUUUUUGAAGAAAUCCUGAUUUUUUUUCAGAAGUGCUGAUUAAUUCUGUUCACAUGCCCAGCCUAGCCUGAGACAGCUCAAGUAAAAUCCUGACUCCCUGAAGCCAAGAGCAAUCCUGCCGUUGUGCCAGGUAUCUGGCACAUGCAGUUUUGACUGAAAUUUACCCUGCGGUCUUGAUUUCUUGAAAGCUGUGGGGUAUCUCAAUAUUUGCAUCCAAACGCUGAAGAACAAUAGCAUAAUGACUGAAAAUGGACUCAUUCUGCUGAUGAGAAAUUCAAACACAGAAAACUCAAUAAUACUAUUUAUGUACAGCAUUUCUUAGGUUAUAAUUGUAUAUAUUCUGACUAUGAAAAAUGAGAUGGUAUAAAACACAAUCAUGUUUUCACAUACACAGGACUCCAGUAAGAAUUGGCUUUCUCUUAUGUGGAGCUUUCUUGCUUGGUACCAGGCGCUAAUGAUUCUUGUCUGCUUACAAAAAAAAAAAAAAACAAAAAACAAAGGGCAUUAAAAUGUGAAACCAUUCAGCCAAAAUCAUCAUGUCUUUUGAAAAAAUCUUUAAUAGUGAGAAAAAUAGGAGGGAUUUCUGAAAUGCCUUUUUUUUUUUUUUCUGUUCCAGCUGAAAAUUGACUGGCAGCUAUCAGCAAAUUGGAGACAGCAAAACUUUCAGAAGUAUUUGUCUUCUAAACUGCUAUCGUUGUCUGCAGCCUUCUUGGAACCAGAUUUCUAUUUGCUGACUGCAUAGGCAUUUUGUUGGAGGCUUUUUACUGAAAAUACAAGAAAUAACAUUUGAAUUGCUUUUGGAUUUCUUAUAGGAUUUUGUCUCACUUUUAAAGCCUCUGAGCUGGAUGUGUAUUUCAUUACUUCUCAUUUUUUUGUUUUUCUUCUAAAUAUCUUCUUUGUAUCUGGCACAAAGUGGAAUGCAAAAUAAUUAAGCAAGUAAUUUGUGAGUGUCUGACUACAAAAUACACUCCCCCCAACAUUAUCAGUAAUCCCAUUUUAACUAAAGUUUUGACCUGUGGUAGAGACAAUAACAAAUUAUUUUAGUCCUCUCACAGUUCUAGGUUUGCAUUAUAACUUAAAAACCUGUUACAAUCUACUGAGAUUUUUGUAUACUAUGAUGAUACUAUUCUCACUUAAUUCCCAAUGGCACUUUAAUUCUUAAAUUGCUUACAGAUUAUUUUUUUUCCCCUAAUGUUAAACUAUUUUUCAACACUACAGAAGGAGCAGAAAAUCCCCAGUCAAAACUUCUCAAUGCUAGAUUAUCUACAUGAAACAAAUACUUUUAGGUAUUUUGCCCUCCUUUGACAUUUGAAACCAGACUACUGCCUUCCUACAAGGGCUGCUUUCCGAGGCUCACAAACAGCUUGGCAUUAUACAGACAGGACUCAGCUCAGUUUUCUAAACAACUUUUUCAUGCCAUGCCACCCACACAAAAGAGUUUGGGGCUUUCCUCGCCUCUUCAGUCUUGAUACACUUCCUUUUUUAUUCCCGUGUCUCCAGUCAGUGUGGCAAUGUGUGGCCUGGAGGCUUGGCUUGUGACUCUUUGGAUUUGCUUGUUGCAAUAAGCUGAUAUACAAAUGCCCGGAAGGAUUGUCAAGGUAUGCUUGCUACACCUAGAAAUUAAGGAGGUUUUGUGGGCUUGAGAAAUGGAAACUCAAGUCCAGGCUUGAAUUUUAGGUCCUGCGAUUUGCCCCGGGUGUGUGUUGUAGUGUUUCCAUAAAGGGGAACGCUCUGUGUGGGGGGGUGUUUCAUAGCAUUCCCCAUGGGAAAUAUUAAAAUUGUAGCUUCUCUGGAAUUGGUGAUAGAGCAGUGUCCAAGUAGGUAUUUGGCACAAGCUCUACUAGUGUGAAAAAUGGGGGGUGUUGCCAUAUCGGGCACGUCCAGCCUGUGAAACACUGUAGUAUCAUUAUUCUCUCUGAUGCUUGAGUAUUUCAUUUGCUGGAGGAGUGCGGUGCAGCUGACAGAAAGGUUGUGUUAUACACACGGUGAAAGGUGCCGGCAGCGCAGCCGGUCCUGGUCACCGGAGCCCACCGAUGGCAGCAGGCGACCGGCACGGGGGGGGUGACUCCUUAGGCCAGUGGUUCAGCUCUUCGCAGGGUGUAGGAGUAGGAGGACUCACGGGCUUGGCUGGCAAGGAUUUCUGUUUCAAUCAGACAGUGGAUGGGUAGUUCAGGGCUGAUGGUGAGAUUUAAAAGGAAACCAUUUCACAGUGAUGAUCUUAGUUAUGCCUUAAAAUGUUUGUUCAGGAGAAGAUAUCUAUGCAUUGGAAAAAAACAAACAAACAAACAAACACCAGAGAAGAACAAUAAAAGGCUGUGCACAAUGCCAGCUGCCAUUAGAAGUUGAAAGUUUAUUUUCAGACCGUCGUUUUUAGAAACAUUGCUUCAAAUAAUUUCAUCGGUCUAAGGAAAAUUGUACCUCAUACCUUUUUGUUCUGUUUUCAGAGUGGAUUUUUAUGGAAGAACGGGGCUGUUCUGAGUGUUGGACAGGUUAAGCCCUGUGCUUUCAGAAAAGCUCUCUGAAAAGACACUGAGCAUUGUGUGUUUUGGUUGCAUAGUGAUACCAUGGUCAUUGCUCUGUGAUGAAUAAUUCAAAUGAAAGUGGCUGGUGGGCCACAAAUAAUUGGAACAGAUUUUGUGAGUGUAGUGUGUAACGGUGGGCAGAAGGCAGCAAAUGGGCCUUUUCCAGCUUCGUGCCCUCCUUGGGACUGGGCUCAGGUGAUGAAAAAUUCUCAUGGAAUUUCCAGAAUAUAACAAAUAAUCCCCCAACAUCAAAUAAGUAUACCCUAUCCUGGAUGGAAGUUGUAAUUGGAAGUAAGGCUUGAACUCAAAGGAGAAAAAGUGUUCCUAUCUUUUUGUUUAUUUGUAGGGGAUAGCAUUGAGAAACAGCAUGCACAACAGUACUCAUUGGGAAGGCUCCAAAUAGCGUGAUCGCUAGGAAGCUGCCAGUAGUUAGGAGAAAGAGUUUUCUGCAUCCAGCCUUCCUCAGUUCCCACAUUAGAAAUUUUACUGAGGAUUUCACAUGGUCCUAAGUUUUGCAUGCGUGUUACCCCUAUACCGCAGAAGAAGCAAGCACCCUUUUCCCUGCAUGGGGGGGAAUGCUAAUAGCUAUGUCCAACGGGCAAACAUGCAUUCUUCUGGCUAGUGGUCAAGUGAAAUUUGAAAGCCAUUAUACUGUCCAGUGUUUUUACUGAAUAGCUGAUGCAGACAGCUGGAUUGCUGGGAGCUGUCUCGGGAUCGUCUGGGAGGUUAUUGAGCUUUUGGUUUGAUCUUGGAACCAUCUUCCUGUGUAGAUGAAGGGUAAGCAUUAGUUAAGAAUGAUUACCUUAAAGUAUUAGAUGUUUACAGAUGUCAUGUGUUUCCUCAUUAGACUGCCUUUGAAAAUGAAAAUAAAGGUCAUCAGCCCAACCCAGUUCUGCGGUUACUGCAUUUUCCUGGUUUGGUUUGCUCUAGUUACUUACUUCAGGCAUUUAUAAUCUUACCGGGGGGGUGUUGGCACCCGGUGAAAUGUACCUCAGGGGAGAACAAUUCUGCGUGGCGCACCUCCUGCUCGUGGCUUUGCGUGUAGCUGGUGCCGUGCAGAUCGGCUUGGCUUGGAGGGCGCGGGGAUGGGCAGAGGUCCUGCCCGGCGCGGGCACCCACGGCACGGCGCGAGCCGCAGGGAGGGUCGG
Molecule: long non-coding RNA, 9372 nt
Organism: Tyto alba (common barn owl)
Lineage: Eukaryota; Metazoa; Chordata; Aves; Strigiformes; Tytonidae
Exons: 3
Source: RefSeq, a predicted model, not a curated record